Long non-coding RNA from Amblyraja radiata (thorny skate), 494 nucleotides. RefSeq lists it as uncharacterized. The record is from RefSeq and is a predicted model, not a curated record. The transcript has 3 exons. Lineage: Eukaryota; Metazoa; Chordata; Chondrichthyes; Rajiformes; Rajidae.
UAUGAGGACAGAGCCAGAAAAUAUGUGUUAAAGAACCAUCUGCACUUUUGCAUCUGUCACAUAAUGGAGAAAUAGCUGGGUAGAUUCGAUGUCAUUUGGUCUUUGAGUAAUGGAGUCUGUGGAUGACUUUAAACUGGAUCAGUUUAUACCUGACAUUGAUCGAACAAGUUUGGAUUCUGGUCAGACCUUCAUUCCAAAUGUCGUCAGACACCUCGAAAUUCAGCUCAGUAGACCAGGCUUUUUUCAGAUGGGUAGUGGAUACAGAGGUGGUGAAUAGACUCACAAAGCGAGAUAUUAGAUGUUUGGAGUCUGGAGGAAGCUGCAGGAGCUCAUAGAGUGGGCAACUGUCAGGCAUGGUUUGAAAAUUUGGAAUUUGAUCUUUAACGUAGUGCCUAAUUUGGAGAUAGCGAAAAAAAUGAGAGUUGGAAAGGUUAAAUUUUGAUUUCAGCUGAUUAAACAAAGCAAACUUUUUGUCAAUAUAUAGAUCUCUGAGG